UUGAUAGGAUAGUUCAUCGCGGUGUAGAAAGUACAUCGAGGAAAGUCCGGACAACGUAGAGUACUACACCAUCUAACAAAUGGACUCCAAUUUAUUGGUGAUAGAGAGUGUCGCAGAAAAUAACCGCUAUUCUUCGGAAAGUAAGGGUGAAAAUAUGAGGUAAGAGCUCAUGGGGUGUUAUGGCAAUGUAGCACGCGGAUAAACCUUGUAGGUUGAAAUGUCAUGUACAUUAUGGGUUGAAGGCUACUCGCCUGAGAAACGUUGUUUCACCAUAAGGGGUAGGCAGAGAAGAUAAAUGAUGAACACCAGUUUACUGGGACAGAAUCCGGCUUAUUUCCUAUCUUUUUU
This 348-nucleotide RNase P RNA is filed under the name Saprospiraceae bacterium. RNAcentral describes it as "RNase P RNA component class A". It matches the Rfam family "Bacterial RNase P class A". Rfam says of the family: Ribonuclease P (RNase P) is a ubiquitous endoribonuclease, found in archaea, bacteria and eukarya as well as chloroplasts and mitochondria. Its best characterised activity is the generation of mature 5'-ends of tRNAs by cleaving the 5'-leader elements of precursor-tRNAs. Lineage: Bacteria; Pseudomonadati; Bacteroidota; Saprospiria; Saprospirales; Saprospiraceae. The record is from RNAcentral.